UUUAAGUGCAGUUGUGGAUAUCCGGAUCCGUGUCCAGCGUUUGAUUAUCCAUCUUAUUUAAAUUUUUAUGAUUAUUAUUUUCAUUGUUAUUAGAUGAUAAAACAAGAAUAAUACUUUAUGUGUAACUUAUUUUUUUAAUUUUUUCAUAAAAUUUUUAAAAUAAGACAGAUGGUCAAACGUUGGAUAAAAAACCCGCAAGUGCACUUAAA
Oryza sativa Indica Group (long-grained rice) is the source of this 209-nucleotide microRNA precursor. It matches the Rfam family "MIR812 microRNA precursor family". The record is from Rfam. Lineage: Eukaryota; Viridiplantae; Streptophyta; Magnoliopsida; Poales; Poaceae.